ACACUCCUACGGGAGGCAGCAGUGGGGAAUAUUGCACAAUGGGCGCAAGCCUGAUGCAGCCAUGCCGCGUGUAUGAAGAAGGCCUUCGGGUUGUAAAGUACUUUCAGCGGGGAGGAAGGCGAUAAGGUUAAUAACCUUGUUGAUUGACGUUACCCGCAGAAGAAGCACCGGCUAACUCCGUGCCAGCAGCCGCGGUAAUACGGAGGGUGCAAGCGUUAAUCGGAAUUACUGGGCGUAAAGCGCACGCAGGCGGUCUGUCAAGUCGGAUGAGAAAUCCCCGGGCUCAACCUGGGAACUGCAUUCGAAGCUGGCAGGCUAGAGUCUUGUAGAGGGGGGUAGAAUUCCAGGUGUAGCGGUGAAAUGCGUAGAGAUCUGGAGGAAUACCGGUGGCGAAGGCGGCCCCCUGGACAAAGACUGACGCUCAGGUGCGAAAGCGUGGGGAGCAAACAGGAUUAGAAACCCUGGUAGUCCC
Molecule: ribosomal RNA, 472 nt
Filed under: uncultured organism
Description: partial 16S ribosomal RNA
Rfam family: Bacterial small subunit ribosomal RNA
Source: RNAcentral